This 156-nucleotide ribosomal RNA is filed under the name Schizopora radula. RNAcentral describes it as "5.8S ribosomal RNA". It matches the Rfam family "5.8S ribosomal RNA". From Rfam's summary of the family: 5.8S ribosomal RNA (5.8S rRNA) is a component of the large subunit of the eukaryotic ribosome. It is transcribed by RNA polymerase I as part of the 45S precursor that also contains 18S and 28S rRNA. Lineage: Eukaryota; Fungi; Basidiomycota; Agaricomycetes; Hymenochaetales; Schizoporaceae. The record is from RNAcentral.
CUUAAUACAACUUUCAACAACGGAUCUCUUGGCUCUCGCAUCGAUCGAAGAACGCAGCGAAAUGCGAUAAGUAAUGUGAAUUGCAGAAUUCAGUGAAUCAUCGAAUCUUUGAACGCACCUUGCGCUCCUUGGUAUUCCGAGGAGCAUGCCUGUUUG